Molecule: ribosomal RNA, 253 nt
Filed under: uncultured bacterium
Lineage: Bacteria
Description: partial 16S ribosomal RNA
Rfam family: Bacterial small subunit ribosomal RNA
Source: RNAcentral
UACGAAGGGGGCUAGCGUUGUUCGGAAUUACUGGGCGUAAAGGGCGCGUAGGCGGUCCUUCAAGUCAGGCGUGAAAGCCCCGGGCUCAACCUGGGAACCGCGCUUGAGACUGGCGGGCUAGAGUUCGGGAGAGGAUGGUGGAAUUCCCAGUGUAGAGGUGAAAUUCGUAGAUAUUGGGAAGAACACCGAUGGCGAAGGCAGCCAGCUGGACCGACACUGACGCUGAGGCGCGAAAGCGUGGGGAGCGAACAGG